GAAAAUGGUUGGCUAUUAACUUGACCCAGAACACCCCACAAAAUCAUGCAAAUCAAGAUAUUAAAAUCUUCAUAUUCACUUUAAGAGUCAAGAAACUGCCCAGGCCAUAGGGGUGGAGGGAAGUUGCGGGGGGCGGUGCAAAUCCAAAAAGCCACAAAGUAUCUGAAAGAUGUCACUUUAUAGAAGCCAUGUAAGCCAUUCCAUUGUUCCAACUGUGGAGUCAGUAAGUGUGCCUAAGCCAAACAGUGAGGCUGGGCACAGGGUUAGUGGACCAAAAAGACUGAAUUUUUGCUGCACAUGCUUAAAAAUGCAGAGUAAUGCUGAACUUAACAGUAUUAAUAGAUUAUCUGGUCAUCAAACAUAUCCAGGUGCAUGAAGCACCCAAGAUGCACUGCCAUAUUUACAGAGCUCAAAACCAAAUUAACCUAUACAUGAGCUCCCCUGCCACACUGAGAUGAUCCUACCAAAAAGGAAAAAAUUGUUCCUUAACCAGAAGAGGUGGUUGCACAGAAGAAAAAGAUCCCAGAAGAAAUGGAUGAAACAAAAGCUUAUGGUAGGAG
Molecule: long non-coding RNA, 560 nt
Filed under: Homo sapiens (human)
Lineage: Eukaryota; Metazoa; Chordata; Mammalia; Primates; Hominidae
Description: non-protein coding lnc-NUMA1-2:3
Source: RNAcentral